CCUACGGGUGGCAGCAGUGGGGAAUAUUGCGCAAUGGGCGAAAGCCUGACGCAGCGACGCCGCGUGAGGGAUGAAGGUCUUCGGAUCGUAAACCUCUGUCAGCAGGGAAGCACGGUCACUGUGCUAAUCAGCAGUGAAUUGACGGUACCUGCAAAGAAAGCACCGGCUAACUCCGUGCCAGCAGCCGCGGUAAUACGGAGGGUGAGAGCGUUAAUGGGAAUUACUGGGCGUAAAGCGCGCGUAGGCGGUAUGUCAAGUCAAGGGGGAAAUCCCCGGGCUCAACGUGGGAACUGCCUGUGAAACGGGAAAACUGGAGGGUGUGAGAGGAUAGUGGAAUUCCAGGUGUAGGAGUGAAAUGCGUAGAUAUCUGGAGGAACAUCAGUGGCGAAGGCGACUAACUGGCACAUAACUGACGCUGAGGAGCGAAAGCGUGGGUAGCAAACAGGAUUAGAUACCCUUGCAGUC
RNAcentral lists this ribosomal RNA (465 nucleotides) under uncultured bacterium. RNAcentral describes it as "partial 16S ribosomal RNA". It matches the Rfam family "Bacterial small subunit ribosomal RNA", at positions 338 to 795 of the family's 1533-position model. The record is from RNAcentral.